GAUGAAGAACGCAGCGAAAUGCGAUACUUGGUGUGAAUUGCAGAAUCCCGUGAACCAUCGAGUCUUUGAACGCAAGUUGCGCCCGAAGCCAUUAGGCCGAGGGCACGCCUGCCUGGGCGUCACACGUCGUUGGCCCCCCAUCUACUCCUUCGGGAUUGCGGGGGGCGGAUGAUGGCCUCCCGUGCGCCUUGCCGCGCGGUUGGCAUAAAUGCCAAGUCCUCGGCGACGCACGCCACGACAAUCGGUGGUUGCGAAACCUCGGUUGCCGGUCGUGUGCGGUCGUCGCGCAUCGAGGGCUCGAAAAAAUUGCCGGGUUCCGGCUCGGCUUUCAACGCGACCCCAGGUCAGGCGGGGUUACCCGCUGAAUUUAAGCAUAUCAAUAAGCGGAGGA
RNAcentral lists this unclassified non-coding RNA (391 nucleotides) under soil metagenome. RNAcentral describes it as "partial contains 5.8S ribosomal RNA, internal transcribed spacer 2, and large subunit ribosomal RNA". The stretch from base 1 to 122 matches the Rfam family "5.8S ribosomal RNA", at positions 35 to 154 of the family's 154-position model. The record is from RNAcentral.